AGCGAACGCUGGCGGCAGGCCUAACACAUGCAAGUCGAACGAACUCUUCGGAGUUAGUGGCGGACGGGUGAGUAACACGUGGGAACGUGCCUUUUGGGUCGGAAUAACUCAGGGAAACUUGUGCUAAUACCGAAUGUGCCCUUCGGGGGAAAGAUUUAUCGCCAUUAGAGCUGCCCGCGUCUGAGUAGCUAUUUGGUAGGGUAACGGAUCACCAAGGCAACGAUCAGCAGCUGGCCUGAGAGGGUGAUCAGCCACACUGGAACUGAGACGCGGCCCAGACUCCGACGGGAGGCAGCAGGAGGGAAUCGUCCGCAAUGGGCGAAAGCCUGACGGAGCAACGCCGCGUGAGUGAUGAAGGUCUUCGGAUCGUAAAACGCUGUUAUGAGGGAAGAACAAAGGGGUAAGUAACUAUGCACGUCUUGACGGUACCUAAUCAGAAAGCCACGGCUAACUACGUG
RNAcentral lists this ribosomal RNA (458 nucleotides) under uncultured bacterium. RNAcentral's name for it is "partial 16S ribosomal RNA". It matches the Rfam family "Bacterial small subunit ribosomal RNA", at positions 29 to 507 of the family's 1533-position model. The record is from RNAcentral.